AGAGUUUGAUCAUGGCUCAGGAUGAACGCUGGCGGCGUGCCUAUACAUGCAAGUCGAGCGAACCACUUCGGUGGUGAGCGGCGAACGGGUCGAGUAACACGUAGGUGAUCUGCCCAUCAGACGGGGACAACGAUUGGAACGAUCGCUAAUACCGGAUAGGACGAAAGUUUAAAAGGUUGCUUCUGGCACCGCUGAUGGAUGAGCCUGCGGCGCAUUAGCUAGUUGGUAGGGUAAAGGCCUACCAAGGCGACGAUGCGUAGCCGACCUGAGAGGGGUUGAACGGCCACACUGGGACUGAGACACGGCCCAGACUCCUACGGGAGGCAGCAGUAGGGAAUCUUCGGCAAUGGGCGAAAGCCUGACCGAGCAACGCCGCGUGAAUGAUGAAGGCCUUCGGGUUGUAAAAUUCUGUUAUAAGGGAAGAACGACUUUAGUAGGAAAUGGCUAGAGUGUGACGGUACCUUAUGAGAAAGCCACGGCUAACUACGUG
Molecule: ribosomal RNA, 490 nt
Filed under: uncultured bacterium
Lineage: Bacteria
Description: bacterial SSU rRNA
Rfam family: Bacterial small subunit ribosomal RNA
Source: RNAcentral